This 303-nucleotide small nuclear RNA is filed under the name Aotus nancymaae (Ma's night monkey). RNAcentral describes it as "7SK RNA (ENSANAG00000004388.1)". It matches the Rfam family "7SK RNA". From Rfam's summary of the family: 7SK was discovered as an abundant small nuclear RNA in the mid-70s but a possible function has only recently been suggested. Two independent studies have found that 7SK RNA binds the CDK9/cyclin T complex (known as elongation factor P-TEFb). Lineage: Eukaryota; Metazoa; Chordata; Mammalia; Primates; Aotidae. The record is from Rfam by way of RNAcentral.
GGAAGUGAAGGCAAUCUGGCUGCAACAUCUGUCACCCCACUGAUCGCCAGGGUUGAUUGGGCUGAUCUGGUUGGAUAGCUGGGUGUCCCCUUCAUCCCUCACUGCUCCAAGUGUGUCUCUCCUAAAGCUGCACACUCAGUCCAAGAGGACAGCCAUAGCCAGCAGAAGAGGCCUGGUCUUCAGUCAAGUGUAUAUGGGUAGUUGCGCUCCCUGCUAAAACCUUCAAAGAAGCUCUCAAGAUGAUGGAGGAAGACACAAUAGGCCAUUAACAAUAAAACUCAUUGAAUAGUUAGGCAAAAAAUU